This 299-nucleotide ribosomal RNA is filed under the name uncultured bacterium. RNAcentral describes it as "partial 16S ribosomal RNA". It matches the Rfam family "Bacterial small subunit ribosomal RNA", at positions 775 to 1067 of the family's 1533-position model. The record is from RNAcentral.
GGAUUAGAUACCCUGGUAGUCCACGCCGUAAACGAUGUCUACUUGGAGGUUGUGGCCUUGAGCCGUGGCUUUCGGAGCUAACGCGUUAAGUAGACCGCCUGGGGAGUACGGUCGCAAGAUUAAAACUCAAAUGAAUUGACGGGGGCCCGCACAAGCGGUGGAGCAUGUGGUUUAAUUCGAAGCAACGCGCAGAACCUUACCCAGGCUUGACAUCCUACGAACUUGGUGGAAACACCUUUGUGCUCUCUCACGAGAGAACGUAGUGACAGGUGCUGCAUGGCUGUCGUCAGCUCGUGCCG